CCUACGGGUGGCUGCAGUGAGGAAUAUUGGUCAAUGGCCGAGAGGCUGAACCAGCCAAGUCGCGUGAGGGAAGACGGCCCUACGGGUUGUAAACCUCUUUUGUCGGGGAGCAAAGAGAGUCACGUGUGACUCAUUGAGGGUACCCGAAGAAAAAGCAUCGGCUAACUCCGUGCCAGCAGCCGCGGUAAUACGGAGGAUGCGAGCGUUAUCCGGAUUUAGUGGGUUUAAAGGGUGCGCAGGCGGAGGUGCAAGUCAGCGGUAAAAUUGCGGGGCUCAACCCCGUACUGCCGUUGAAACUGCAUCCCUUGAGUGCGCGAGAAGUAUGCGGAAUGCGUGGUGUAGCGGUGAAAUGCAUAGAUAUCAGGAGGAAUACCGUUAGCGAAGGCAGCAAUCUGGCUGGAGACUGACGCUGAGGUGCGAAAGCGUGGGUAGCAAACAGGAUUAGAUACCCUAGUAGUC
This 459-nucleotide ribosomal RNA is filed under the name uncultured bacterium. RNAcentral describes it as "partial 16S ribosomal RNA". It matches the Rfam family "Bacterial small subunit ribosomal RNA", at positions 338 to 795 of the family's 1533-position model. The record is from RNAcentral.